UGAGCGGCGGACGGGUGAGUAACGCGUGGGUAACCUGCCUCAUACAGGGGGAUAACAGUUAGAAAUGACUGCUAAUACCGCAUAAGCGCACAGGACCGCAUGGUCAAGUGUGAAAAACUCCGGUGGUAUGAGAUGGACCCGCGUCUGAUUAGUUAGUUGGUGGGGUAACGGCCCACCAAGGCGACGAUCAGUAGCCGGCCUGAGAGGGUGAACGGCCACAUUGGGACUGAGACACGGCCCAAACUCCUACGGGAGGCAGCAG
Molecule: ribosomal RNA, 262 nt
Filed under: uncultured bacterium
Lineage: Bacteria
Description: partial 16S ribosomal RNA
Rfam family: Bacterial small subunit ribosomal RNA
Source: RNAcentral